UUAAAUCCUCUCAGAUCUCCAGAAGUGCAUGGGGUUUAGGGGUCAAUUUGGGAUUGCACCAAACAGAUGUAGCCACCAUCUUAUACUCUGUGCAAAAGAAAACAUCCAUGUCAUAUACAAUAGCUGGUGUUCAAUCUUUUAAAAAGCCUCUCUAUCAAGGCUUAAACAAGUGUUAUUAAUCAUUUGUUGGCACUUAAAAACCUCCAUAUUUGAACCAUCAUUAAAUCAACAAUUACAUAACGCUGAUGUAAUGAUGUACAGUCAGUUUAAGAUAAAUGUUAGUGUUGUCCUUGACUCCCCUUUUCAGCACUCACAUGCUCCCACAUGUAGAAAGCUACAAUAACGCUACAUUCAGAUCUCAGUAACGAAAUAAUGUGUGAGGUGAGCUCAGUCUUUACCCUGACCUGUUGGACCAGCCUGGGCUGCAGAGCCAGUUAUGUACACAGAUACCCUGUGAUUAGGACCUGGGGAACUGGUUCCUAACAACAGACUGAGUGACAGCAUGUAGAGGAAUAGCAACGUCAACUCCACCUUUCACACACUGACUAACUGGUGGUCCUGAACUCAAAAAGGACAAGUUUAAUUCAGUUUGGUUUUGGGGUGGGGAUGCUUUCGCUUUUUUUCAGGUUUUGCGACAUCCAGACCCUCAGCCAUCAAAACUGUCAAUUGAAACCAAUAGAAGCCAUACUUGUUUUUGUGUGUGAUUUACAUAGGGUGUUUGCUCUAAGUUCCACUUUUCAGUGUGUGUGAGAUUGAUAGUGAUAAAGGGAGGUGUGUGUGUAUCGCACCAGUCUCAGCAUGCUUUCUGUUGAUUCUGUGUAACUAUAAAGUGCCCUGCCUUAACAGAUCUGUGAUUCCAUAGAAGUUAAAUGAACUGUGAUAUUGUUGCACCUCCCUCCCUGUAUAGCUUGUACCUUACUGUCUUCUUCAUCUUCUCUCUCGCAGGUAUAACAGACUCUUACCUGACAGACAGUCUGGCCACCUGUGAUACUACUCAAAUUUAUAUUGAGAACCCAUGGUAUUGUGGUUCAUUUAUGUGAGCAUAAGAAACUGCCUAUGCAAACUCUCUGUACUGACUGAAUUCAAGCUCAGACACACCGGUAGGAUAGUCAAACUUUUGCCUGCCGACAGUACUUAGCACCUCUGAACAGUGUCGGAAGUCAAUCUGUUUUGUGUUCAAACAGCAAAGACCUUGGAAGGCGACAGCUUUUAUCCCCUCUAUACCUGCCUCCUACACAACAAACCCUGAGACAUACUGCAGGGUGUGAUAGUUGGUGUGGAUGAGGACAUAGCCUACUCCUGGCCAGUCUGCAGCUUAUGUGGGAGUGACUGCUUGGAGAUGGCACCCCAAAAGCUCUCCAGCAGAGCACCAUCUUGCCUGUGUGUUACUCUGCAGCCUCUGGCCAUGAGGGGAGUUCUCUCUCGCUCACCUGUUAUGUAAUAUACGGUUGCAAGAUGGAGAAUGUGUUGGGGGGAGGGAGGUGGGCCCCAUCAACGCUUACAUCCAUGUGGUCACCAGGAAACCAGCCCUGUGCAUCGGUCUGGAAGACAUCUGCCUCUGAGGCUGUCAAAGUGGGGAGUGGGACCCCAUGAAAUAAAUCUGUAAGACUGAGGCCUCCUCAGCCCAGCCCCACAAGCUCUCUCUGUACAGAAUGUGAAUAAUUGGUGAAGAAAUAGAUCUGUUUGUGUGUUACUGAUGGGUUAGGACCCAGGAGCUGACAGCCCAAGGCUAGAACUGACAGACCAGAGAGGAACAACAUAUGUCGAACUUGGCCCACGUCGGUCCAACUGGUGACUGUAAAAUAUGCCUGUUUGCUGUAAAUAGCCACACGUUUCUCUGUGUUUCCUUGAAUAUCUACCUCCUAAUAUAUUUCUGAAGAUGAAUGGUACUUAUACUCUGUCAAUAAACAUUGUAUUAUGCUAG
Oncorhynchus nerka (sockeye salmon) is the source of this 1924-nucleotide long non-coding RNA. RefSeq lists it as uncharacterized. The transcript is spliced from 4 exons. NCBI's taxonomy places the organism in Eukaryota, Metazoa, Chordata, Actinopteri, Salmoniformes, Salmonidae. The record is from RefSeq and is a predicted model, not a curated record.